This 229-nucleotide unclassified non-coding RNA is filed under the name plant metagenome. RNAcentral describes it as "partial contains small subunit ribosomal RNA, internal transcribed spacer 1, and 5.8S ribosomal RNA". The record is from RNAcentral.
UCUCCGUAGGUGAACCUGCGGAGGGAUCAUUACAGAGUUCAUGCCUUACCGGGUAGAUCUCCCACCCUAUGUUAUUAUUACUUUGUUGCCUUGGCGGGCCGUUAGGCUCCGGCCCGACUACCGGCCCCGGCUGGUAAGCGCCCGCCAGAGGACCCAAAACCCUGAAUAUUAGUGUCGUCUGAGUACUAUAUAAUAGCUAAAACUUUCAACAACGGAUCUCUUGGUUCUG